UGAGCAUCAAUGAUGAGCUUUAUCUGAAUUGUUAUCCUUGCACUUUGAUUGUUAGUGAAGAAAACCCAUGGGGAUUCACAACUCUGAGAUGCUC
RNAcentral lists this small nucleolar RNA (94 nucleotides) under Olea europaea subsp. europaea. Its description in RNAcentral is "Small nucleolar RNA snoR26". It matches the Rfam family "Small nucleolar RNA snoR26". The record is from Rfam by way of RNAcentral. Lineage: Eukaryota; Viridiplantae; Streptophyta; Magnoliopsida; Lamiales; Oleaceae.